CCUACGGGAGGCAGCAGUGAGGAAUAUUGGUCAAUGGGCGCGAGCCUGAACCAGCCAAGUAGCGUGAAGGAUGACUGCCCUACGGGUUGUAAACUUCUUUUAUAAAGGAAUAAAGUGAGGCACGUGUGCCCUUUUGUAUGUACCUUAUGAAUAAGGAUCGGCUAACUCCGUGCCAGCAGCCGCGGUAAUACGGAGGGUCCGAGCGUUAUCCGGAUUUAUUGGGUUUAAAGGGAGCGUAGAUGGGUUGUUAAGUCAGUUGUGAAAGGUUGCGGCUCAACCGUAAAAUUGCAGUUGAUACUGGCAGUCUUGAGUACAGUUGAGGUAGGCGGAAUUCGUGGUGUAGCGGUGAAAUGCUUAGAUAUCACGAAGAACACCGAUUGCGAAGGCAGCUUACUAAACUGCAACUGACAUUGAUGCUCGAAAGUGUGGGUAGCAAACAGGAUUAGAUACCCCUGUAGUC
RNAcentral lists this ribosomal RNA (460 nucleotides) under uncultured bacterium. RNAcentral describes it as "partial 16S ribosomal RNA". It matches the Rfam family "Bacterial small subunit ribosomal RNA", at positions 338 to 795 of the family's 1533-position model. The record is from RNAcentral.